UACGUAGGGUGCGAGCGUUGUCCGGAAUUAUUGGGCGUAAAGAGCUUGUAGGCGGUUUGUCGCGUCUGCUGUGAAAAUCCGGGGCUCAACCCCGGACUUGCAGUGGGUACGGGCAGACUAGAGUGUGGUAGGGGAGACUGGAAUUCCUGGUGUAGCGGUGAAAUGCGCAGAUAUCAGGAGGAACACCGAUGGCGAAGGCAGGUCUCUGGGCCACUACUGACGCUGAGGCACGAAGGCCAGGGGAGCAAACGGG
This 253-nucleotide ribosomal RNA is filed under the name uncultured bacterium. RNAcentral describes it as "partial 16S ribosomal RNA". It matches the Rfam family "Bacterial small subunit ribosomal RNA", at positions 524 to 776 of the family's 1533-position model. The record is from RNAcentral.